Molecule: small RNA, 762 nt
Filed under: Malus domestica (apple)
Lineage: Eukaryota; Viridiplantae; Streptophyta; Magnoliopsida; Rosales; Rosaceae
Description: sRNA MD13G0227500
Source: RNAcentral
CCGUUUGUUUCUCUCUCUCUCUCUAUCUAUCUCAAUUUGUGUGGUCCUCGAGCCCAACACCAUGAGUGCAUUUCUGCAUUGCAUCAUUUCUCUCUAGAAUGAAAAAUAGCUCUCCUCUCUCAUUUUCUCACCCCUGUCUCUUAUUUUGCUCUAAUCCUAACUACACCUCAACACUCUCUCGUCUAUGCACAACCCAAAGCCAAGGAGUUUCUGCCAUGAAAUGAAGGCAUAUCUAAGCUCCAUAUUGUCUCUUCCAGACCCCAGUCCUCACAAAGGGGUCCUGGAAGCGACAGUGAUAGCAAAGAUGAAGAACAUGAAGGACAUCAAACCUGAGAUCCGGUGGACAAGAAACCGGUGGAUUUCACGAGAUGCUCAAAUUCAGAAUUAAAAAGCCUUUGUGGAAAAAAUGCUGGUGGCACACAAAACUGGGUAGCGAUAAGUUCAGGUGCAGGAUCAGCUAUUUUCUCCUUUGGGCAUGAAUAACAGGCAAAUGGGUCCUCCGUUCCUGCACCAACCUCUUGAUCAUCAUAGCUUCUCCCACAAUUUACUGCUUGAAUUUGAAAUCCUUGAUUGGUUAUUUCUAUGUACAAAUCAGUUGAUUCCAACAAUUUAGAGAGUUUGUCCUCCACCGAAAACUCUUGUGGCACAUUAAGCUACUCAAAAUACUGCUCAAGAUGCUCUUUCAAACUUUGAGUAUAGAUCUUUGAAUAGGGAUUAUUCCAGUUCCAUUUUGAAUCGUUUCUUAUAUUUAUAUACUCCUGG